Molecule: long non-coding RNA, 1385 nt
Organism: Cervus elaphus (red deer)
Lineage: Eukaryota; Metazoa; Chordata; Mammalia; Artiodactyla; Cervidae
Exons: 3
Source: RefSeq, a predicted model, not a curated record
GCAUACUGGAGCGGGUUGCCAUUUUCUUCUCCGAGGGAACUUCCUGACCCAGGACUUGAACCCAGGUCUCCUGCAUUGUGGGCAGAUACUUUACCGACUGAGCUACGCAGGAAGCCUUGAUGAUCUUACUACUGGAAUAAGGUCCUGGAGCUAGCAGAGGAGGGAUAGGCACAGCAACCCAGGCUCCAGAGCCCACAUGUUACCUGCCUCGCUCAUGGCACAUCCUUCCACGUGAAAAGGAAAGCCAAGUUCACUCUUUGGGUGAGCAUCCCUUCUUGUGCCUCCACCAAUGUGAUCUCCUCUUCAAACUGACCAGCAAGGAAGAUUCUGCCCUCUCCAGGGAGCUUCUUGGCCUUGUUUAUCAGAGCAGGGUGAUGGGAGAGUGAAGAACCGAAAGAAAAAAAAAAAAGAAUACAAAAUGUAUGCAGAGCAAGAGAAGAAGAAAAAUGAUGAUGUCAAGGAGGGCAAGAAGAAAGGGCGAGGGAACUUAUGAUGCCAUCUGGUGUGGAGGAGGGCUUUGGGGACUUGUGGGGGUACAUGGGGAGAACUGGUGGACUGUGUUGCAAUAUAGGAGAGAGCAGCAAGGGAAAUGAUGGGGCAGGAAGUUAGGGGGAAAGGCUUUUAAGGAAUUUGUUGUGUGAGAUGGUUAGUUAGCAUCACUGUCUCAAUGAACCUCUAAGAGAUAGUGAAGGGAAGCCUGGUGUGCUGCAGUCCAUGGGGUUGCAAAGAGUCGGACACAACAACAGCAAUGAAUCUAAACCUUCUUCCAUCUUUCCUCAACAUACUGGAAUUAAAGAUUUGUUUUAAUCUUUUAGUCUGAACAAUUUUUGGAUACCAGUUAAAUUUGAUUUUACUAAGACUUCUCGGCAUAUCUGGGUAAGACAGGCUACAAGUGGGCUCCCCUUUUUGGAGGUUACACACCCCAGGAGGUUAAAAUUCCCAGGUUGUGAACAUGGGUGUUAUCUUUUUCUUGGUCCAACUUCAGCCCCAUCAGUAAAAUAUGUGGACCUGCCAGUUGUUUUUCCUUGGAUAUAUAAGGGGUAGUAGCUCUGUUUAUUCACUUUUUGUUCAUAAUGAUAUUUGCAGAGAGCCAACUCUAUGCAAACCAGUAGUGAGCAAGGUAUGGUCCCUGCCCUUGAAAGCUGGCUCCCCAGGGAAGGAAGCAGAAAAGAAACCACUAAAAGCCUGUAAACAACAUCAGUACAGAUUGUGAAAAGAUCAAUAAAGGAAAUAAAAUUGGAGCUACUUCCUGCAAAGGCAACAUGACAGGAAAAUAAGAAUCUAGUUGUCUAUAGAGCUCUGAAAAAAAAGUAUGUUAUGAAUUUUCAGGGAAAUGCCUCAGACAUAUAUUUCUAAUAAGAUUUUCUCACAUCUCUCUUUUUUAA